GGGAUAGCCACUAGAAAUGGUGGGUAAUACUGUAUAAUCCCUGCGGGGGAAAGAUUUAUCGCUAUUAGAUGAGCCUAUGUUAGAUUAGCUAGUUGGUAGGGUAAAGGCCUACCAAGGCGAUGAUCUAUAGCUGGUCUGAGAGGAUGAUCAGCCACACUGGAACUGAGAUACGGUCCAGACUCCUACGGGAGGCAGCAGUGGGGAAUAUUGGACAAUGGGCGCAAGCCUGAUCCAGCUAUGCCGCGUGAGUGAGGAAGGCCUUAGGGUUGUAAAACUCUUUCAGUAGGGAAGAUAAUGACGGUACCUACAGAAGAAGUCCCGGCAAACUCCGUGCCAGCAGCCGCGGUAAUACGGAGGGGGCAAGCGUUGUUCGGAAUUAUUGGGCGUAAAGGGCAUGUAGGCGGUUCGGUAAGUUAAAGGUGAAAUGCCAGGGCUUAACCCUGGAGCUGCUUUUAAUACUGCCAGACUAGAGUCCGGGAGAGGAUAGCGGAAUUCCUAGUGUAGAGGUG
This 509-nucleotide ribosomal RNA is filed under the name Anaplasma phagocytophilum. Its description in RNAcentral is "bacterial SSU rRNA". It matches the Rfam family "Bacterial small subunit ribosomal RNA", at positions 140 to 683 of the family's 1533-position model. The record is from RNAcentral. Lineage: Bacteria; Pseudomonadati; Pseudomonadota; Alphaproteobacteria; Rickettsiales; Anaplasmataceae.